CUCUUGCUCUCACCUCACGUUACCCUCACAAUCUGUCUGUAGCAGUGACGGCGGCGACUUCCCACUGGUUCUCCCUCCGACAUCCAGGUGGAACUGCUUCUUUCUUUUUGUGUGGAGAUGGGCUUUUCUUCAGUUAUACCUGUUGGUCACGAUGAUAGAGGCCUGCUUGCCUUAAAAACUGCACAGAGCCCAUGCUUAACCAAAUUUUGUCAAUGUCAGAAAUUUCUUGGAGAAAGCAAAAUAUGGUCAAAGAAUUCAAAAAUUUAGUUUUUCAAGCUUUUUCAUUUUUUAAUAUAUGUAAACACAGUUUAAAACUUUUAUGUAAUUCAUUUCUAUCUACUUUUAAACAUAUUUAACUUUCAUUCAAGAAAUAUAUAACGUUA
Molecule: non-coding RNA, 383 nt
Organism: Camellia sinensis
Lineage: Eukaryota; Viridiplantae; Streptophyta; Magnoliopsida; Ericales; Theaceae
Source: RefSeq, a predicted model, not a curated record